UGCUAUAAUGGGAGCCAUCCAUAGACAAUUAGCAUGACCCUGAGCAAGCAAAGAUGACACACAAAUUCAUGAGGCAUUCCGUGCUU
This 86-nucleotide small nuclear RNA is filed under the name Cervus elaphus hippelaphus. Lineage: Eukaryota; Metazoa; Chordata; Mammalia; Artiodactyla; Cervidae. The record is from RNAcentral.